UACGAAGGGGGCUAGCGUUGUUCGGAUUUACUGGGCGUAAAGCGCACGUAGGCGGAUUGUUAAGUCAGAGGUGAAAUCCCGGAGCUCAACUCCGGAACUGCCUUUGAUACUGGCAAUCUAGAGUCCGGAAGAGGUGAGUGGAACUCCUAGUGUAGAGGUGGAAUUCGUAGAUAUUAGGAAGAACACCAGUGGCGAAGGCGGCUCACUGGUCCGGUACUGGACGCUGAGGUGCGAAAGCGUGGGGAGCAAA
Molecule: ribosomal RNA, 250 nt
Filed under: uncultured bacterium
Lineage: Bacteria
Description: partial 16S ribosomal RNA
Rfam family: Bacterial small subunit ribosomal RNA
Source: RNAcentral